AAAGCUCUAUCUUCCCUUCUCCUUCUUGUGGGAUGGGAACUUUGGAAGGAAAGGAAUGCGCGCGUCUUCAGGAACAAGGCAGCGCCGCUGGCGAUCAUCAUGCGAUGCAUCAAAGAAGAAGUGUCCAUUUGGACCAUUGCAGGCGCCAAACAUUUGCGUAAUGUAAUGCCGCGAGAGUAA
RNAcentral lists this ribosomal RNA (180 nucleotides) under Triticum aestivum (bread wheat). Its description in RNAcentral is "partial small subunit ribosomal RNA". Lineage: Eukaryota; Viridiplantae; Streptophyta; Magnoliopsida; Poales; Poaceae. The record is from RNAcentral.